GAAUACAUGACGACUGGUGAUGAAUACAUGACGACCACAGCCUCUGCCGUGAGGACACACAACAGGUUUAGGCCGUUUGUCAAUGUUGGUCAUUGACAAAUAUCUUUGAUCUGGACAAUCAGCUUUGUUCACUCUUUGUCCAACAUUUGAAAACCCACAAUUCAGAACGCUCUGUUUUGUAUGCUAUCGAGGUUCUGCGUUCUUUCACCUGACAUGCGGACAUUCACCCUUAACCAAAAGUACAACGGGCAAAUAUAGGUAGCUAUAAUUCCUAAUAAUAUCAACAUAGUAGACCUUAACCCGGGUAGGUGACCCAAGGGGACCGCGUCACACACACGAGGACCCCGCGUUCCGCCUCCUGCAGGUUGAUUGGUGGAGGUUGGGUGGAGGUUUGUUGGUUGGGUGGAAGUUUGGCGGACUUCGACCACACCACAGAGGAAACACGUUCUUGCAGGUUUGCAGUGUAAUUGCAGCGGCCCGUGAAUUAAACCCGUGAGUUACACAUUUUAUUCAUCACCAUGUCUAAAAACGGCCAGACAAUCAGCAGAGAGACGUGGGACUCCCACAACGCCAUGAUGCUGGAGCCUCUGGCCACCAACGACUCUGAGGUGUUCUCCAUCAUCAAGCAGGAGAAGCACCGGCAGACGUACGGUCUGGAGCUGAUCGCUUCGGAGAACUUCGCCAGCCGAGCGGUUCUGGAGGCGCUGGGCUCCUGCAUGAACA
Molecule: long non-coding RNA, 723 nt
Organism: Gadus morhua (Atlantic cod)
Lineage: Eukaryota; Metazoa; Chordata; Actinopteri; Gadiformes; Gadidae
Exons: 3
Source: RefSeq, a predicted model, not a curated record